GCUUUCCUACGGGACGCAGCAGUGGGGAAUAUUGCGCAAUGGGCGAAAGCCUGACGCAGCGACGCCGCGUGAGGGAUGAAGGUCUUCGGAUCGUAAACCUCUGUCAGCAGGGAAGAACGGUCACUGUGCUAAUCAGCAGUGAAUUGACGGUACCUGCAAAGGAAGCACCGGCUAACUCCGUGCCAGCAGCCGCGGUAAUACGGAGGAUGCGAGCGUUAUCCGGAUUUAUUGGGUUUAAAGGGUGCGUAGGCGGGCUGUUAAGUCAGCGGUAAAAGCCCGGGGCUCAACCCCGGCGAGCCGUUGAA
This 305-nucleotide ribosomal RNA is filed under the name uncultured bacterium. RNAcentral describes it as "bacterial SSU rRNA". It matches the Rfam family "Bacterial small subunit ribosomal RNA", at positions 333 to 631 of the family's 1533-position model. The record is from RNAcentral.